Molecule: non-coding RNA, 149 nt
Organism: Wilcoxina mikolae CBS 423.85
Lineage: Eukaryota; Fungi; Ascomycota; Pezizomycetes; Pezizales; Pyronemataceae
Source: the annotation of a GenBank genome assembly
GCCUCCGUAGCUCAGUGGUAGAGCAUGAGAGAACUUUGAUCAGUAGGCCCAGCGCGAUGCUUCAGGGUUACCUUUCGCGCGGUAAUACCAUGGAAGUAUGGGCCCAAUGCUGCAUCUCACAGUCGUAGGUUCAAAUCCUACCGGAGGCU